This is a long non-coding RNA of Triticum aestivum (bread wheat), 533 nucleotides long. RefSeq lists it as uncharacterized. NCBI's taxonomy places the organism in Eukaryota, Viridiplantae, Streptophyta, Magnoliopsida, Poales, Poaceae. The transcript has 4 exons. The record is from RefSeq and is a predicted model, not a curated record.
CGAGCGACAAACUCUUCCAAAGCUAGCAAGCUGAAGAGAACACAAGCAGACACGAAAGCCUCCAGGACUGAGCAUGGCGGCGAAGGCACAAAGUGGAUUCGUGCCUCCAAUGCGAGGGUCUUCCGGCCAGCAGAAUGAUCGACCAUAUGCUCCGGCGGAAGCUAGCCAAAAGGCGCCGUCGCCUAGCAGAGGUAAAGCGUCGUCGACCGGAACAACCCCUGAGUCCAGCAACGGCAACAACUCAUCGAGAACGCCAUACAAAGCAGACGAUGGUAAAACGACCUGACAAAAAGGCAAGGGCAUAUCUAGGCGGUGAAUGGUCUGUGUGCGGAAGAAGAAUCAUGUGAAUAAAUAUCAGUUUGUCCUAGUUUAUCUGUCAAGUACUAUAUUUCGUGGACCAAGAAACCUCUAUACCUAAAUAUGGAUAAUGGAUUGUAUAGCUUGUGAAAGUUGUCAUGUAGACAAGUAGUAUUUCAUUCGUUCAUGCAUGUUCUUCAUUUAUAUCUAUACCUUAGUUAUGUUGGUGAAUUUGU